GUCAUACCUACAGCAGUUGUAGCUUACAAAUCUUUUACCCUUUGACCCCGAACUAAGAGCACUGGGCACCUAGUGAUGAAACCUGAAGACCUUCGGGUUUCCUCCAGAGGAUUAUGGCAUCAGGGAAUCACUAACUCUAAAGUCACGGGUUAGCACCCUCUAUUCCCCACCAAGCUGACUGACGUGGUCCAGAACAGAAGAACGAGUGCACUGCACUAUGUUGCCGCUUUACUUUGUCUACACAUCUGACACGAACAGUAUCCUAAGGCACAGUGGAACCUCACCACUAAAAGCCAGGCCCUCCUCGGAGCCCCAGCCCUGGCACACGCCGGCUGAAGCUGAUGUGCGUUCACAUGGUAACCAAAGGGCUUGAGUGGGGAAGGCACUCAGAGAAGCAGUUUGAGCCUCAUGUAUUUUUGUAGCCUUGAGCAAGUCACAGCACCCGAAAGGCUCAGUUCUGUUUCCUGGUUGUGGGACAGAGAGCACUUGUGAUCUUCUGAAGGCCUAAGGUCCUGGGCUAACAAAGAUGAGAUUGUGACCCCUAGUGGCUGUACCUACUCAUUGCACUUUACAUGUACUUUACACACUACCCUUUAGAUGUAAAAAGGGCAGAGUGAAUACACAAGAGCGUCCCUGUGCUAAAGAGCUGAAGUCUUCCAGGGAACUUAUGUGCACAUUUUGUUCUUAAGUUUUCUACUCAUGAGAACAUUGUCAGAGUCAAAAGACAUCUGUAGUGUACAACUCUUUUUAGGAUACUUUACUGUUGCUAUACCAUACGCAAACCUGAAGUCCAGGGUUGUAAACCUAUAAGUCACCGGUAAUAGAGAAAAGCCACUCAAAAAUCCCAUCUGAAACUGCUAGUUUCUGCUUCAGUAUUCAGCCAAGGGGUAGAGAGCUAGAGCGAGCCUUCAGGACCCCUGGUUAGAGGUAAGGGCUACCAGUCACGGUCCCAUCAGGAAAGGGAACCUCACUUUUCUCACCCCUUUCUAGCCUAAAUUAGAAUUCUCUCAAUGGUGCUGUGAACAGCUGUUCACAUCCUUCAGGUAGACACUACUAUACCUGUUCUGCAACACGGCUCUCUGACGCCACAUGCUGCUCAUUUUUUGGACAAAUACCUUAGUCCUCAGGGAGCCAACGCGGGCUUAGUGCAGACACUUCCCUUGCUGUGGUCUCUGCCCCAGUUCUUCUAAAUGUCCGCCCAUCACUUACUUUCUAUGGAAGGUAGGAGAGGAACUAAAGGCCCAGUAGGAAUGAUGAAAUAAAGAGGCUGAGUUCUCGUGACAACUGUGGAAUGAAUAGCAUACGGCGACUCAGAAGUUUGAGGCCCUUUUCCACACACAAGGCAAUUGCCAAUGCCCACUAGAGGUCAAUGCUGGGCGCGGACAAUGCAGGUUAUAGGCCGACCUUGAGUUUUGAGACAAGUAGAACUGUAUGUUUGCAAGUGGUCUGGUGUGGAGAGGGCCUCUGAGCUCCUCUGAGCAGAUCUGCACCGUCUGACUUUCAGGAUCUGCAUGCAUUAUAUUCAGUGUCAUGGGUUAUGACAACAGAGAGACAGGUGGUCACAGCCAAUGCUAAGAGAGUUCCUGUGAGGUCUUGCACCCGCACUAUGUAGGGAGUAUUUGAACUAGGUGAUUGGCCUAUAGCUUAGAGGCCUGCAUGUGUUGGGAGCAGAGCACAAAGGUUCUUGAACACCCAGAUCUCCAGGGAAACCACGAGGUCUCCAACGGGAGGUGUCUGGCUACAAGCUCUGCAGUCCUAAUGUGUGUCAACCUAAGAACAUGGCUGAGGGGCCUGGGAUUCAGUGUGGAGAAACGUGGCAUUUGGGAUCAUUGUUCUGGCUGAGGUUCUCACAAAGCAGCAGAGAGGCUUCCUUUCAAUUAA
Rattus norvegicus (Norway rat) is the source of this 1881-nucleotide long non-coding RNA. RefSeq lists it as uncharacterized. NCBI's taxonomy places the organism in Eukaryota, Metazoa, Chordata, Mammalia, Rodentia, Muridae. The record is from RefSeq and is a predicted model, not a curated record.